CUUGCUCUGCACUGCAGAGACCAUCUCUAAGGUGAAUGUCACCUCCGACCUGUGAGGAAGAUGCACUUACAAGGAGAGCCAUGCCAGGAUCUAAGAUGGUGGCCUACAGGAGAGCCCCUGACCUCGGAACUGAUCAUGCAGUUGGUCGGCUGCUCCACUGACCUUAGAAGAGUGACUAAUUAAUGAUACAAAUAUCAGAGCUUCAGGAGGAUUUGCUGCUUCAACUAUCCUGGGUUCUGGCAAGCCGGAUUUGUGCCCUAUUGGAGGGAGCCACGGCCACCUGUGCUGUUUCCUCUAGCAUUUUGGAAAUAAAAUGGAAAUGGAGUCUGAGGAAGGAAUGCUUGGCUCAAAUAACAGCUCUUACCUUCAUCAACACAGUAAACUGGAUAAUCAGCACCAGCUGGGGCAGAAAGGAAGGGCAGCUGGUGAAAUGAACAUGUCCACUCUGUGUCAUAGUAAUGACAGAACUUCAGCUGAAUGUUGUCUGUGAUAAAGGAGACAAAGUAUGGCCAACUUGGGUUUUGCAGAAGUCACUGGAAAUCCACAGCUUUCUAUGAAACUUCCUGAUGCUUAAAAGUCUCCAAAACCAGUUGUUCCACAACUGUUUCCUUGGGCAUACUCUGGGCCAGGGAGUGCCAGAGAUAAAGUGAAGAACAAAGGAGACAAAAACAAAAGUUUGUGCCCUGUCUCAUGCUUACCCUCGUGGAGCUUAGAUUCCACUGAAAGAUACAGACAAUAUAACAAAUAAGUGAAUGAUACUUUGGAAAGUGGAAAUUGUUCAAUGAUGAUAAUCACUCAAGUAUAUCAUGAAGAAUUAUCUAGCUCGGCACUUUCUCCUGAAGUGUAUUACCAGAGAAAUCCAAAAUCUCUGCCAAUGAAACAAGCAAAUCUUCUUAAUAAAGAAU
Long non-coding RNA from Neofelis nebulosa (Clouded leopard), 905 nucleotides. RefSeq lists it as uncharacterized. The transcript has 5 exons. The record is from RefSeq and is a predicted model, not a curated record. NCBI's taxonomy places the organism in Eukaryota, Metazoa, Chordata, Mammalia, Carnivora, Felidae.